Molecule: ribosomal RNA, 505 nt
Filed under: uncultured bacterium
Lineage: Bacteria
Description: partial 16S ribosomal RNA
Rfam family: Bacterial small subunit ribosomal RNA
Source: RNAcentral
GACGAACGCUGGCGGCGUGCCUAAUACAUGCAAGUAGAACGCACAGUUUAUACCGUAGCUUGCUACACCAUAGACUGUGAGUUGCGAACGGGUGAGUAACGCGUAGGUAACCUGCCUGGUAGCGGGGGAUAACUAUUGGAAACGAUAGCUAAUACCGCAUAAUAUUAAUUAUUGCAUGAUAAUUAAUUGAAAUGUGCAAUUGCACCACUACAACAUGGACCUGCGUUGUAUUAGCUAGUAGGGGAGGUAACGGCUCACCUAAGCGACGAUACAUAGCCGACCUGGGAGGGUGAUCGGCCACACUGGGAAUGAGACACGGCCCAGAAUCCUACGGGAGGCAGCAGGAGGGAAUCUUCGGCAAUGGACGAAAGUCUGACCGAGCAACGCCGCGUGAGUGAAGAAGGUUUUCGGAUCGUAAAGCUCUGUUGUAAGAGAAGAACGGGUGUGAGAGUGGAAAGUUCACACUGUGACGGUACCUUACCAGAAAGGGACGGCUAACUACGUG